AUUGAACGCUGGCGGCAGGCCUAACACAUGCAAGUCGAACGGUAACAGGAAACAGCUUGCUGUUUCGCUGACGAGUGGCGGACGGGUGAGUAAUGUCUGGGAAACUGCCUGAUGGAGGGGGAUAACUACUGGAAACGGUAGCUAAUACCGCAUAACGUCGCCAGACCAAAGAGGGGGACCCUCGGGCCUCUUGCCAUCGGAUGUGCCCAGAUGGGAUUAGCUUGUUGGUGGGGUAACGGCUCACCAAGGCGACGAUCCCUAGCUGGUCUGAGAGGAUGACCGGCCACACGGGAACUGAGACACGGUCCAGACUCCUACGGGAGGCAGCAGUGGGGAAUAUUGCACAAUGGGCGCAAGCCUGAUGCAGCCAUGCCGCGUGUAUGAAGAAGGCCUUCGGGUUGUAAAGUACUUUCAGCGGGGAGGAAGGGAGUAAAGUUAAUACCUUUGCUCAUUGACGUUACCCGCAGAAGAAGCACCGGCUAACUCCGUG
RNAcentral lists this ribosomal RNA (490 nucleotides) under uncultured bacterium. RNAcentral describes it as "partial 16S ribosomal RNA". It matches the Rfam family "Bacterial small subunit ribosomal RNA", at positions 30 to 507 of the family's 1533-position model. The record is from RNAcentral.